RNAcentral lists this microRNA precursor (207 nucleotides) under Oryza barthii. Its description in RNAcentral is "MIR812 microRNA precursor family". It matches the Rfam family "MIR812 microRNA precursor family". Lineage: Eukaryota; Viridiplantae; Streptophyta; Magnoliopsida; Poales; Poaceae. The record is from Rfam by way of RNAcentral.
AAAAAGACAAACUCUGGGUUUCCGUGUCCAACAUUUGACCGUCCGUCUUAUUUGAAAAAAAUAUGAAAAAAAUUAAAAAGACAAGUCACGCAUAAAGUAUUAAUCAUGUUUUAUCAUCUAACAACAAUGAAAAUACUAAUUAUAAAAAAAAUUCAUAUAAGACAGACAGUCAAACGUUGGACACGAAAACCUAGGGUUUGUCUUUUU